This is a long non-coding RNA of Sphaerodactylus townsendi, 521 nucleotides long. RefSeq lists it as uncharacterized. The transcript has 2 exons. The record is from RefSeq and is a predicted model, not a curated record. Lineage: Eukaryota; Metazoa; Chordata; Lepidosauria; Squamata; Sphaerodactylidae.
UUCCAGCCUGGUUGCCCGCCCCGGUGCUCUACGGCAGCAUCAUCGACACGACCUGCCUCCUGUGGCAGUGGAAAUGCCAAAGGAAAGCAGCCUGCAGAUACUACAACAGCACAGCCUUCCGGCACAGCUUCGUCGGUCUGCAGUUCUGGUUCCAAGUUUGCUGCUUCUUCUGCUUGCUGAUCGUGUACUUCCUCUACUGGAGGGAAGGGCGAUCCCAGGAAGGGCCGAAGGAAGAGAAACGCCUGGACGAAAUACCAGAGGCGGAAGCAAACACUUGACUCACUCACGGUUUCUCUCCUGCCGAGCCGAGGUGCCGGGCUCCGGGACUGAGCCCCGAACUGCAGCUGCGACGGAACUGGCGAACGUCGAGGACAAUCGAGUUUUCCCUGCAGCUGGCACUGCGUUGCCGCUUUUUAAUAUUUCCCUUCCUCUGUACAUACCCUUUGGAGUCAGGUGCCCAGCUGCCAGCUGGCUGAGGGCUACAUAAAAAUACGACCGAUCAAUAAAUAAUUUGUCUUCCA